Molecule: ribosomal RNA, 253 nt
Filed under: Duodenibacillus massiliensis
Lineage: Bacteria; Pseudomonadati; Pseudomonadota; Betaproteobacteria; Burkholderiales; Sutterellaceae
Description: partial 16S ribosomal RNA
Rfam family: Bacterial small subunit ribosomal RNA
Source: RNAcentral
UACGUAGGGUGCGAGCGUUAAUCGGAAUUACUGGGCGUAAAGCGUGCGCAGGCGGUUGGGUAAGACAGAUGUGAAAUCCCCGGGCUUAACCUGGGAACUGCAUUUGUGACUGUCCGACUAGAGUAUGUCAGAGGGGGGUGGAAUUCCAAGUGUAGCAGUGAAAUGCGUAGAUAUUUGGAAGAACACCGAUGGCGAAGGCAGCCCCCUGGGGCAAAACUGACGCUCAUGCACGAAAGCGUGGGGAGCAAACAGG